GUCUGGAAGAGGAAGAAAAGAGGGUCUAAGUGUGGUGGUCAUGGAAACAUGGAGGCAAGCUAAAAAUCAUGGCUCUAGAAAUAGACCCUUUUUUCCGAUGCCUUCCACGCCUAUUGUUCUCAGGUGCUCCUUCCUCUUCCUUUGGACA
RNAcentral lists this microRNA precursor (148 nucleotides) under Triticum aestivum (bread wheat). RNAcentral describes it as "MIR2118 microRNA precursor family". It matches the Rfam family "MIR2118 microRNA precursor family". The record is from Rfam by way of RNAcentral. Lineage: Eukaryota; Viridiplantae; Streptophyta; Magnoliopsida; Poales; Poaceae. RNAcentral also lists the same sequence under 1 other name.